This 1474-nucleotide ribosomal RNA is filed under the name uncultured bacterium. RNAcentral describes it as "bacterial SSU rRNA". It matches the Rfam family "Bacterial small subunit ribosomal RNA". The record is from RNAcentral.
AGUUUGAUCCUGGCUCAGGAUGAACGCUAGCGGCGUGCCUAAUGCAUGCAAGUCGUACGGGGAUGGGGGCUUCGGCUCUCGUCCCAGUGGCGAACGGGUGAGUAACACGUAAGUGACCUACCUCCAAGUGGGGGAUAACCCCGGGAAACUGGGGCUAAUACCGCAUAACGUGUUUGGGCUCAGUUCCAAACACCAAAGCCUUCGGGCGCUUGGAGAAGGGCUUGCGGCCUAUCAGGUAGUUGGUAGGGUAAUGGCCUACCAAGCCGAUGACGGGUAGCCGGUGUGAGAGCAUGGCCGGCCACAUGGGCACUGAGACAAGGGCCCAACUCCUACGGGAGGCAGCAGCAGGGAAUCUUGCGCAAUGGGCGAAAGCCUGACGCAGCAACGCCGCGUGGGUGAUGAAGGCCUUCGGGUCGUAAAACCCUUUUCUCGGGGAAGAAGUCCUGACGGUACCCGAGGAAUAAGCCUCGGCUAAUCACGUGCCAGCAGCCGCGGUGACACGUGAGAGGCGAGCGUUAUCCGGAUUUACUGGGCGUAAAGGGCGUGUAGGCGGCCGGAAAAGUCCUUCGUGAAAUCUCUCGGCUUAACCGGGAGGCUGCGGAGGAUACUCUCCGGCUUGAGGGCAGCAGAGGGAGGUGGAAUUCCCGGUGUAGCGGUGAAAUGCGCAGAUAUCGGGAGGAGCACCGGUGGCGAAGGCGGCCUCCUGGGCUGUUCCUGACGCUGAGGCGCGAAAGCGUGGGGAGCAAACAGGAUUAGAUACCCUGGUAGUCCACGCCGCAACCGUUGGACACUAGGUAUGGGGGGUAUCGACCCUCUCCGUGCCGAAGCUAACGCGUUAAGUGUCCCGCCUGGGUAGUACGGCCGCAAGGCUAAAAUUCAAAGGAAUUGACGGGGGCCCGCACAAGCAGCGGAGCGUGUGGUUUAAUUCGAUGCUACGCGAAGAACCUUACCAGGGCUUGACAUGCCAGGAGUAGGAACCCGAAAGGGGGACGACCGGUAACCAGUCCGGAACUGGCACAGGUGCUGCAUGGCUGUCGUCAGCUCGUGCCGUGAGGUGUUGGGUUAAGUCCCGCAACGAGCGCAACCCUCGUCCCAUGUUGCUCUCUCAUGGGAGACUGCCGGGCAAAACCCGGAGGAAGGUGGGGAUGACGUCAAGUCAGCAUGGCCUUUAUGCCCUGGGCUACACACACGCUACAAUGGGUGGUACAAAGGGUUGCGAACCCGCGAGGGGGAGCCGAUCCCAAAAAGCCGCCCCCAGUUCGGAUUGGAGGCUGCAACUCGCCUCCAUGAAGGUGGAGCUGCUAGUAACCGCUGAUCAGCAUGCAGCGGUGAAUACGUUCCCGGGCCUUGUACACACCGCCCGUCACGCCAUGGGAGCCGGCAACACCUGAAGUCGGCGAUCCAACCGGGUUUCCCGGAGGUAGCCGCCCAGGGUGGGGCUGGUGACUGGGGCGAAGUCGUAACAAGGUAGCCG